This 546-nucleotide ribosomal RNA is filed under the name Escherichia coli. Its description in RNAcentral is "bacterial SSU rRNA". It matches the Rfam family "Bacterial small subunit ribosomal RNA", at positions 986 to 1532 of the family's 1533-position model. The record is from RNAcentral. Lineage: Bacteria; Pseudomonadati; Pseudomonadota; Gammaproteobacteria; Enterobacterales; Enterobacteriaceae. RNAcentral also lists the same sequence under 1 other name.
AUCCACGGAAGUUUUCAGAGAUGAGAAUGUGCCUUCGGGAACCGUGAGACAGGUGCUGCAUGGCUGUCGUCAGCUCGUGUUGUGAAAUGUUGGGUUAAGUCCCGCAACGAGCGCAACCCUUAUCCUUUGUUGCCAGCGGUCCGGCCGGGAACUCAAAGGAGACUGCCAGUGAUAAACUGGAGGAAGGUGGGGAUGACGUCAAGUCAUCAUGGCCCUUACGACCAGGGCUACACACGUGCUACAAUGGCGCAUACAAAGAGAAGCGACCUCGCGAGAGCAAGCGGACCUCAUAAAGUGCGUCGUAGUCCGGAUUGGAGUCUGCAACUCGACUCCAUGAAGUCGGAAUCGCUAGUAAUCGUGGAUCAGAAUGCCACGGUGAAUACGUUCCCGGGCCUUGUACACACCGCCCGUCACACCAUGGGAGUGGGUUGCAAAAGAAGUAGGUAGCUUAACCUUCGGGAGGGCGCUUACCACUUUGUGAUUCAUGACUGGGGUGAAGUCGUAACAAGGUAACCGUAGGGGAACCUGCGGUUGGAUCACCUCCUU